This 2181-nucleotide long non-coding RNA is filed under the name Homo sapiens (human). RNAcentral describes it as "long non-coding RNA NONHSAT204703.1". The record is from RNAcentral. Lineage: Eukaryota; Metazoa; Chordata; Mammalia; Primates; Hominidae.
GGUUGGAAGCCCCGCCCUUCCGAGGAGUUUCCCAAAACCCUGCGCGGCCGGCUUUGACCGCGCUAAGAUGGCGACUCCCAUGCAUCGGCUAAUAGCCCGGAGACAAGCGUAAUGAAGCAAAUAAGCAACAUGUAAGAUGUCAGAAAUGCUUGGAAUUUGGACAUUGGACUUAUGAAUGCACAGGAAAAAGAAAAUACCUACAUAGGCCCUCAAGGACAGCAGAACUAAAGAAAGCUUUAAAAGAAAAAGAAAACAGAUUAUUAUUGCAACAAAGCAUUGGAGAAACCAAUGUAGAAAGAAAGGCCAAGAAAAAAAGGUCUAAGAGUGUAACCAGUUCCAGUAGCAGUAGCAGUGACAGUUCUGCCAGUGAUUCUUCAUCAGAGAGUGAAGAAACAUCUACCUCUUCCUCCUCAGAGGACAGUGACACUGAUGAAAGCUCCUCUAGUUCCUCAUCCUCAGCCUCCUCCACAACCUCUUCCUCCUCCUCUGAUUCAGACUCAGAUUCCAGCUCUUCCAGUAGCAGUAGCACCAGCACAGAUAGCAGCUCUGACGAUGAACCACCAAAGAAGAAGAAAAAGAAAUAGAGUUGCUCCAUUCAUAUUGGACUGAUGGACUGAAAACAUUGAUGUGAUUCUUGAAAGGGAAUUUAGAAUAUGUUAAGGCCAAGUAGGUUAACUGGUGAACAUUUCUAGAAUUCAAAAGUUUCUAAAUGUUUUACAUUGUAAGAGCAUAGAGAAUAUUAAUAAUGGCUUAUAGAGAGAGACUUUUAUUUGAAGGGUGAAUCUUGUUUUUUUUAUCUUUAAAAUAUAUCUCUAGAACUUAAAGCUGAAAUCUGCAAAUCUGUUUGUGUGAUGAAACUAUCUUUUCUCUCUGUGAAAUAAAUGCCAUACUUUGUUAUAUAUGUUAGUGGUAUGUAUCAGACAUAUUUUCAGGAUGGUGCGUCAGGAUAUCUGGCAGUGGAUUUCUAAUGCUUUUGGCUGUAUGUUAUGUAAGAUUUAAUAUGUUGUUACUGUAAGCUUAGGAGUUUUCCUACUAUUAAUAAAUGUGCUCUAUUUUUACAUUUAUGUUCAGAAAGUUAUCUGACUUUUUGUCCUAAGUGGUAUGUUCAAGGAGCCUAUUAAUAUAUUUAUAGUUUUUGAAUGCUGUAAGUUUCAAAUUGCUGUGUUACGUCAUUCAUUUUCUUCUGGUUCCUUAAGUUUUUCAAGUUAUCCUUUUCUGAGGAAAAUUAUUCUAGAGGAACCUAAAAAGGGACAAAAAAAUUGAAACUUCUUAGGAGUCUAAUCUUGGUGCCUUCUGUUAAAAGUCAGUGUAUCAGAAAAGAAAGCAGCCAUGUAAGAGGCUAACUUAAAUAGAAGUGCUAGAAAUAUCUUUGUGUAUUAACAUGCAAUAAAAGGUACCAUUCAAAGCAGGGGGAAAGGUAGGAAGAAGAGGUAAUUUUUACUGAAAAUUAGGGCAAUGUUGGUCGCCUUUUAUUAAAAGCUUUUUUUAAGCUUUCAUAAAGAUUGCUUUUUGCUAUUUUUGAAAAUAUGGUAUUAUAGUUUGUAUGGUAACUGGUCAUAUAUGACAGUCUACUGCAUAUAUAUGAAUGACUAGGAUUAAUCUGGUGUGUUUACAUAGGAUAUACAUAGUUGAAAUCUAGCAUGAAAGGUUAAAAAGGAGAUACUGCACAAUAUUUCUUAAAAGUAAAAUGCUGUUAUUGUGAUGAGUCUUUGGUUUAACAUCACAGUAUUCUGUGAUGUCUUUUUAACUUUUUGGAAAGAGGUAUCAUUUGUAGAAAAAAUUUGAUUUGGGUUAAAUAUAGGUUUUUAAAACUAUAAAUGUUGUCUUUUUUAUAUUUUUAUGAAAAAGCAGUAGAAAAUUACUUUUGAAGAAAACAGGCUAUUUAAAUAUUGAAAUAUAUGUAUGUUGUGAGUUUAAGGAGCCUGUAAUUGUCAGUUUUACAAAACCAUCUGUGUUCAAUGGUUGUAAAUAAAUUCUCAAAACAUCAUUUCAAAGGCUGCCUACAGAAUAUUAUCACUUGACAGAUAGAGUUAAUAAAUUACCAAUCAGGCACAUUUUAUAAUGUUUGUCUCUGUAAAGGUAAUAUUAGCAGUUAAAGAACACGGAUGAGAAAAGAAUGUGUUACAUAGGUUGCAUCACUUGCAGUUAAAUAAAACUCACAAUUUGUGCUCACAAGCUUAA